Molecule: transfer RNA, 65 nt
Filed under: Dipodomys ordii (Ord's kangaroo rat)
Lineage: Eukaryota; Metazoa; Chordata; Mammalia; Rodentia; Heteromyidae
Rfam family: tRNA
About the family: Transfer RNA (tRNA) molecules are approximately 80 nucleotides in length. Their secondary structure includes four short double-helical elements and three loops (D, anti-codon, and T loops).
Source: Rfam by way of RNAcentral
GGUGGCUCUGUGGUAGAGCUCUUGCCUUGCAUGCAUGAGGCCCGGGGUUUGAUUCCUCAGCACCA